CAAAUUAUAGGGUUGUCUUCUGCCCUUAAAUAAAGCUAGAUAUUUAAGGUUCUUGUGACAGCUUAUAUGCUCCAAGAACUUCACUAGAAAAGUAGAUUAUGAGAAAUAAACGCAUAUGUGAACCUUCUGGUAAUGGUUCACUGGAAUUGGGAUAAAUUUGAGCACAUAUAGCAUUGUGCGGUUUGUCUUCUUUAUCAGCUUUUUGGCUUUAUAAACUACUUAUGAACUAGAUGACCAGUUCAAAACUAAUGAAGUUUUACUAAAUUAAUCAGUAAGAAGGAUUUACGGAUCUCUAGUUUUAAAUUAGAUUGUCAAAAUACUUUGUUCCCCACACUUCGAAAAUUUGAGUCAUGUUUAGGUUUAACUUACAUAGGAGAAUUCCUUUUUUUUUUUUUUUCUGAAAUUCAGACCAUCUCUCCAGUCAAAUACUAAGAUGUCAUAUAAAUCAAAUUAAUUUGUUUAAGUGUAUUACACAAUCAUACUUCAUGUAUAUAAAUGUUACCACAAAAUCAAGAGUAAGAAAAGUUUGUCUUGCAACUAUUCAAGAAAUGGAAGCUUGGUGUAAAUUCAAAACAAAAAUGGAGAUUUCUAUACUAAGGUAAACCCCAAAAUAAUUGAAAAUGAUAAUCUCAUGAAAUAACAAAGAUGGUGAGAUGAAAGAUUACUAAGUAAGAUAAAGGUGCGAUUAAGGCGUUCAAUCGAGGAAACUUGUAGAUGCCAAAUUGACAAUUUGAUGCACAUAUGCUUAAUAGUAUUCAAGUGUUCAUUCUUAAAAGUUGGAAUUGGGCCAAUAUUGUAAUUCAGCCCGGUUGUAUAUUUAUUACAUUAUACUGUUAUAUUCAUGGAAACAGUGAUGUAAAUGAAUAAAACAUUUCAUCUACAGUGAAUAUAAUAUUAGGGUAAAUUAUUUAUAAUUCUUCUGUAAUUUUAUAUAAUGUCAGACGAUCUCCCAUAUGUUUCAAAAUAGUCACAUCACCCCCUAUGAUUUUAUGUAAAGCAGAGAAUAAAUAAAAAGUACUAUCAAUUACAAUGUGUAUACCAAACGUGCUCUAAAAAUAUGUGUCAUAAAAUCUUAGUUUUCAUGUAAUCCACUUAUGAGAUGUAUAAUUAUCCACUUUACCUCCUAUAAUUUUUGUAUUUAUCCAAAUAAUCCCCUAUGCUUUUAUAUAAGAUAGUUAAACUGUCAAUUGAUUUAGCAUUUAUACAAGGGCACUAUUAAUAUGUUAAUUAAUAGUCGUCCAAGCAACCAUCAAGACACAGCCAACAGAACAAGCUAUUAGCAACUCAAAUUUUAUCAAUCAUUACAUGUACUAGAGCUUAAUUGGCAAGGAAGAAGUGAAUUUACUUGGCUUUUAAUUCGUUCUUUAUCCUCGAAGCAGUCUUUGCAUAUCUACCAGAGGGAAUUUUGUCAAUGUAUUAACUGCAUUUCCCUGCUUCACUAAUGGUUAGAACAUAAAUAAAGCAAGGUGUUCUGGAACAACGUCAAAUCAAACAUAAAACCAAUUUAUGCAUGACAAGGGCAGAAAUUAAGGUCAAUACAUGCUGCUAAAUUUACUCCAUUACCAAGGACAACUUCACCGAUGAUCUUGGGAUUUGUAGUAGUUGUUGCGAUGGUGAACAACCAUGGUGCUGUACUUGUAAUCUGUCCUUGUACAAGACCAUUAUUUCCUGCCGAUUACAGUAAGUAUUCCCUUCUGUGCUGCAUGAAAAGAUCCAAUUGCUAUAGAAUUAUCUUUCAAUCAACCGGAUAAUUGAAACCAAUUAAAAUUGUAAUAAUGUCUACUCCAUCGGCUAUAGCAUCGUUGAAUCAAGCCAAUAUAUCAGCAUCAUCACAGCAUGGAAAAGCACAAGCAUUGUAUACAGCAUUCCUUGCUGCAGGCGCCCCUCCUCGUAUAGUACCUUCUACAAUUCCAUAGUAACUCACAUCCAUGACAAUGUUUCCUGCAGCUGUGUGCGUUCCAUUAUGACCCUAUAAAUCUGUUGCAGAAUCUGAUACAUGGUACCGAGCUCCAAUAAUUUUUCUGUAGACAUGUACACAUCAAAAUGAUAAUCGAAGUUUCCCAUUCAACAUUUCCUAUGUAAACUAACAAAAAGUAGAAACUUUUCCUGUUGCACAUGAAAUCAAUCCCGCCGUAACACACUCCUUUCCAUUUGCUGGGAAUAGGACCAAAACUUUGUUCACGAAAACUCUCUGAUUCUGGCCAAAUUCCAGAAUCAAGUAACUCCUAUGACUAUAUCACUCUCAAAUGCAAGAUUUCGGGGGGCACUUAUAGGAAAACAAAUAAAGUCGCACGAUGCUGUUGUAUAAGUUGAAGCCUUUUGCUUGGAAAUAUAGAAACCACAUGAUCAUGAGCUGCAAAUUUAGUUAAGAACUCACACAUUAGUGGAAGAUUAAUAGAUUUCAAAAAUCAGGAAAGUUGAAAGAGACUAACGUUGCAAAAUUGCACAGACCAGCCAACUUUUGCUGCUCUUGCUUUGUAAGGUAGGCUGAAAAUCCAUUGAAACUCCUAGUAUAACUUCUUCCCAAGAUUUCCCCUUGAUAAUUUCCAUGACAUAAAGAAAAAGAAAUAAAUAAUGUUAUAAAAAAGUUUUUUUUAUGCAUCAAUUGGUAUGUAGUAUAAGUUUGUGGGCACUGAAUAUAUGCAUUAAUUGCUAUCUUAAGCUUCUUCCAGGAUACUAACAUGGUGCUCGGAAGCUGAAUAUUCUCUUUCAGGAUGCGAUUCCACGUAAACUGUAAACCUGUCAUCAAGUAAAAGAAAACUAUCAUUUCUUGACUUGCUGCAUGUUAUUGAAUUUGAACGCUUCAGUUAUGCGACAGUUAUAUUUAUCGUGUAAAAUGUUGUAGUUAUGAUCACUACAUUGAAGUACAAUGCUGCAAAUUCAAUAUAUUACCCGAUACGCAUUAAUCAAAGAAAAUUAAUCUUUUACAGAAAUGAAAAGAGAAGAUAUCAAUGGCACUAUUGCCAAUACUGAUGGGCAACAUAUCCAGUUCUAUAGGCAACAUUAGCCAUUGUUUUCAGGAAUUACAUUUUCUAGCUCCAACUAUAUAUUGUUACUUAUGUUCCUUAAUGUAUGUUAAUCUCUAUUAGUACAUUUUUUCAGACCUAAAAGAUUUCUGGGUCGUACAAUACGAAAUCAAAAGGUGAUGUGUACAAAUGGUCCUUAGAAAGGGUAAGCCUGUCUCUUAGGACUUAAAUACAAGGAUCAAAGAUGCAUGUCCCAUUUUGUGCAUAAUUAAUAUCAAAAACCAACCUGAUUUGUUUAGAAAAGUUUGUUAAAACAAUGCAACAUUACCUUUAGUCAAAAAUCGUGGGCUAUUGUUGCAUUUAUGAGUUACAUAAAAGUCAUCCAUACAGGCAGAAGAAAUCCAGCAUUUCUUGCGGCUUUGGAGUGCUUCGUUUUUACUCAUGCUUGUAUCUUGAGCCAGAUUUGAUAUCUCAAGAAUGAGACUCUGAUAAGAUUAGAGUAAGUAUGCUCAAGAUUUGAAGCGAGGCUCAACUUAGUAAUGUUUUGUGCAAGAUUAUUUGUGAGUGUUGUUAUUUUAUACAUUUUUUUAGUGUAAUGUAUUAUUUGUUUGCCUUUAUUAUCAGUAGACUUAAUCCAUUAAUUUGGUAAAUCCACCACAAUCUAACAAAGCUCUGUUACUCGGGGAGUCCCAUGGACACAGUACCCGUACAAAAUAAAGAUUCCAACAUAGAUAUGGGAGGGCAAAAUAGAGAGUCUGAAAAACAUAAUAGAAAAGCUUGAGAAGGGAAGUGGAUAAUGGACCAAUGAGAACAAGAAAAUAAAACAAUUAAACCCUAAUAUUUAUUCUCAUCCACUUAUUGAGUAGAAGGAUCAUGUCAUGAAAUCAAAAGAUUAUGGAAUAACUUGUAACAAAAUAUUUUUCCCGUAAUGAUAUACUAUAUCCCAUAUGAUUGAAGAAAAAGAAAAAUGACUUGCCUGACUUUCUUCACCAGAAUGGUGCAUAAUAGGCUCAUUAGAAUUGCUAAUACAAAUAAGAAACAAAAUGCUAUAAACCCAAAAGAGUAGUACAGCGACCCUAAAACAUGCUUUAACUUUUCCUUAAAGUUGUGACUCAAAUAUUUAAGAUCACAACAAAGUUCUCAUUUCAAUUGUUCUAAAUGCAACAACGAGCUGCAUGCAUAUUGACUUGUCUUGCUACAUUGAUUAAUAGUUUUUAACGUUGGAAAGGAAACACAAAAAAUUUAAGCUAUAGUGAUGAUUGAGUAAUAUUUCUGAGAUCUGAAUUAAAAUGUGUAAUACCUUUCCUAUUUCGGAUGGUAUGAAUUAUGCGUUAUGUUUCUUGUAGGGAGAUGUAAGUUGGCCUACCUACCUUCCAUUUUUGCCUAUAAAAGAAAUUUUUUGUUCAAUAUAAUACUGGAACUAAUAAGAAUUAGAAAAGUAUUUCUAUUUCCAGUCAAAGAAAAUUGAGACGUCAAAACCAGAAACCUUAUUGUAACUUGAAUGUUUGUGAUGUCUUUUGUAAGCAUUAUUUUCCAUUCAGUUGGUACUAGCUUAAUUAUCUUUAGUAAGGUUCUAUUUGAUAAUUUAACUCAGCACUCAAACUUAAUGGGUUCAGAUCAUAAUAUGUUCAAACGCAUUUGAUAACUAAAAAUAAGACAUUUGAAUUAAUUAAGUGACACUGAAUUUUGCACAAUUUAUUUCAAAAAUAAGUGAUAAAUUAUUCAAGUAUCACUUAAUGUGAUAUACAUUUAAAUGUUUCAGAUUUAAUACUCAACAAUUCAGUAAAUUAACGAAUUUAGACUUUAGAUUUCAAAUUUCAUUUUUCAAACUUUAGUUUUAUCAAACGUACCCUAAGGGUGUGUUUGAUAAAACUGAAGUCUGAAUCUAUUAAAUUAUUGAAUUUUUAAGUAUUAAAUCUAAUACAUUUGACUGCAUAUCACAUUCAGUAAUAAGUGAAUAGCUUAUCACUUAAUUUUGGGAGCAAAUUUUGCCUAGAAAAUUUAAUACUAUUUAAUUAAUUCAGAUGUUAAAUUUUUUAUUAUCAAAUGGUCUGAAUAUAUUAAAAAUUGAAUCCAUUAAGUUUAAAUGCUGAAUUGGAUUAUCAAACAGAAUCUAAGUCUAUUAAGGGGAUUGAACCAAUAAAUUUGAUGAGUUUCAGUUUAACAAUAUAUUUAACAAAUUAUCACUGCCCAAUAAGGGCCCAUCUAAAAACACUUGAAACAAGUGCAUGCUUGUUUGGUGAUUUCCGGCUGGGCUCCCGCUGCUCUUGCAGUGUCCAUUAACGAAUUCCUAUUGUCAAUUUUGGGUCGUAUAUCCACCAGCCCAUGGAAUUUAUUUACAAAGGGAAAUCCUUUUAAGUUGUGAAUUUAAUUAGUAUAACGAGAAAUAAUUUGAGAAAAUUACAACAAAGUACAAACCAUAUGUGCAAGUUUUCUCAAACACAUACCAAUUAUGAAUAGCUUAAGAAAUGAUGAAUAAAUCAUCUUUUUCAGCUUUUCUUUUUGGCCCAUUGUUAAAUCUUCUUUGUUCCCUCAACAAAAAAAAAAAGAAGAAAGAAAUAAACUUCAUCUUUUUAAUUAGUGAAUAAAAUGUAUAUGAAGAGAAAAAGAUAAUUAAAUAUCUUAAUACUAAAACAUAAUGCUACUUAAGAAGUUUCAAAAAUUUUGGUAUCAGUUAGUGAUAAUAAUUUCUCCUAACGCAUUCUUUUAUCUACUACAAAAAAAAAACGUUAUAACUUAUUAUAAAAACCAUCCAAAAUCACAUUGAUUCUUAAGUAUUCCCCUUUCUCCUUGUAAGGGAUGAAUUGCAUCCAAAUCAGGUUCCUUACAAGUGGCUAGCACCCUAAUGGCCUAAUCCAUGGAAGCCAUAUUACAAAAGUGGACUACAAAAGCUAGGGGAAUAUAAUUUCCCAUACUUCUUAUUGUAAUCAUUCCCAAUUUACCUUGGCAUAUACUGGUUUGUUACAAGACUUCAAUCGCUAGCUCUGAACCUCUGGCUAGUAUGUAAUGGCAGAUUAUCUACUAGGAUCAGAGGCAGUUACUAGAUUGGAAAUCAAUACCAGACUAGUAGUGCCCUUUAUCUUGUUGCUUUUGUAUCAUUGGGUUCUUGAAAACAAAAGGCUAGAGAAUCACACCGGGCACAAGUUGCAGUAAAUGAAUUUUGAUUGAACAUGAAUUUAGCAUUUUACCCACCUCAAAUGCUAUUCUGGAAAGUUGCCAAAACUGAAGUUUAAGCUCAAAAAACUGCUUGAACACUGCCCCAAACAGGGCCUUUUUUUUUUUUUUUUUUUUUUUUUUAAAAACUACUUGAGUAAGUUCUACGAAAUCCAGGACUAGAAACUCUUGUUCCACUUGAUACGCUGAUUGUCUUGAUGCCAUUUGCCUAACUUCUGAGUGGAUCGGGACUGGAGAAGGAAGACAAACGCAUGUGUGGCCUUCAUUUAUGCCCCGUCUGCUGCUUCAGAAUCUAGUUGCAGUUCCCGUCUAAGAGGAAGAAUCUAAAGGACAAAGAAACAAGCAGAAGACUUUAGUAGUCAUGAAAUUAUCAUUAGUCUCCUCAGGGCUGGAAUUUGAAAAAAACCCUGAAUACUAACAUGUUGAUAUUGGCUACCCAGAACAGAAAGUUAUCGCUAAAAUAAUUACAAGCUAAUACCAUCAUUUCUAAUUUUGAACUUACGUUUCAGUGUAUCUAAUCCUUAUUAAUUUGUAUAAUUGCUAAUUCUUUCUACUAAUUAAGUCAAAAGAGAAUUGUUUUGAAUGAUCUUUUUUCUUUUUCGAAAAUUGUAAUAUAAUAUUUUGAUCAUAAGCGCAUUUGAGAUUUUCAAAGAUGUUAGAUAGUGAUUCUUGAAAACAACGAAAAACUCCACCCAAACAGAUAAGCCAUGUCUGUAUCUUUUUUCUAUCUUUCUUAGAGGUAAUCCACGAAUUGGACACUAACUAAGAAAACAUCAUAACAUUGACAUAUUAGAACACUGAAGUUCACAUUACCAGAAGAAUAAAAAAUGAGGGAUGAGAACUGACUGAAAUUAUGCAGGAGGAUUAUUGAGAGAGAAGCAUCUUCGAAUCAUUCCUAGAAUACAAGACAAGACCAUCAACAUCUCUGAAAUUUCUCAUGUAGAAAAUUUGUUAAGAAGAUUAACAUGUACGCGCAAAAUGAUAGCAGCCAAUCGCCCUAUAUAAACCCCCAAGCUGUGGCAUCUUGAAACCACAACCAGCUACCAGUUCACUUAGAAUUUUUGAAACACCAUGAAGUUCACCUACAUUUUGUCCCUUUUGGUUUUGUGCCUAACUUUAUACUUCACUUUCGCCAAUGCUGCAAAUUUCAACAUCACAAACAAAUGUACCUACACAGUUUGGGCAGCUGCUUCCACAGGUGAUGGCAGGCAACUCGACCGAGGCCAAUCAUGGUCCCUAGAUGUGGCUCCUGGCACCACCAAAGCUCGCAUUUGGGGCCGAACCAAUUGCAAAUUUGAUGCCAAUGGCCAGGGCCAAUGUCAAACAGGUGACUGCAACAAGCGCCUCAAAUGCCAAGGCUAUGGAAAUCCACCAAAUACGCUAGCUGAAUUUGCCCUAAACCAGCCUAACAACUUAGACUACAUCGACAUCUCCAACGUUGAUGGAUUCAACAUCCCAAUGGAGUUCAGCUCUGUAACUCCGUGCCGCGUUAUCAAAUGUUCGAAACCUAUUGUUGAUCAAUGCCCAGCUCAGCUAAGAACUCCAGGUGGAUGCAACAACCCCUGCACUGUUUUUAAAAGAAAUGAGUACUGCUGCACCAAUGGCCCAGGAAGCUGUGGCCCGACCGACUUCUCCAGGUUCUUUAAGAGCAGGUGCCCUGAUGCUUAUAGCUAUCCUCAAGAUGAUCGCACAAGCUUGUUUGCUUGCCCAAGUGGUACAAAUUAUAGGGUUGUCUUCUGCCCUUAAAUAAAGCUAGAUAUUUAAGGUUCUUGUGACAGCUUAUAUGCUCCAAGAACUUCACCAGAAAAGUAGAUUAUGAGAAAUAAACGCAUAUGUGAACCUUGUGGUAAUGGUUCACUGGAAUUGGGAUAAGUUUGAGCACAUAUAGCAUUGUGCGAUUUGUCUUCUUUAUCAGCAUUUUGGCUCUUUAAACAACUUAUGAACUAGAUCACCAGUUCAAAACUAAUGAAGUUUUACUAAAUUAAUCUGUAAGAAGGAUUUACAGAUCUCUAGUUUUAAAUUAGAUUGUCAAAAUACUUUGUUCCCCGCACUUCAAAAAUUUGAGUCAUAUUUAGGUUUAACUUACACAGGAGAAUUCCUUUUUUUUGGAAUUCAGACUA
RNAcentral lists this long non-coding RNA (8260 nucleotides) under Coffea arabica (coffee). Its description in RNAcentral is "long non-coding RNA (CARA_LNC007547)". Lineage: Eukaryota; Viridiplantae; Streptophyta; Magnoliopsida; Gentianales; Rubiaceae. The record is from RNAcentral.